Molecule: ribosomal RNA, 225 nt
Filed under: uncultured bacterium
Lineage: Bacteria
Description: partial 16S ribosomal RNA
Rfam family: Bacterial small subunit ribosomal RNA
Source: RNAcentral
AAUCUGCCCAGUAAUCCGGGAUAACAUCUCGAAAGAGAUGCUAAUACCUGAUAAGCCCACGAUCUCUUCGGAGAACGAGGGAAAAGGUGGGGACCUUCGGGCCUGCCGUUACUGGAUGAGUCCGCGGCCCAUUAGCUAGUUGGUAGGGUAAUGGCCUACCAAGGCUACGAUGGGUAGCUGGUCUGAGAGGAUGAUCAGCCACACUGGAACUGAGACACGGUCCAG